Molecule: long non-coding RNA, 107 nt
Organism: Poecilia latipinna (sailfin molly)
Lineage: Eukaryota; Metazoa; Chordata; Actinopteri; Cyprinodontiformes; Poeciliidae
Exons: 2
Source: RefSeq, a predicted model, not a curated record
UGCCUUGUACAGAAUAAUGGCUAAGUUGUAUUCAUCUCAAGUGGAUCACAAGUUUAGUUAUCAAUAUAAAAAAAAUUUAGUCAAUCGAAGAAGAAGAAAAAAAUUUU